CCGGGCGCCUCUGGCCGGGGCACUGGCUGAGCCACGCCUGCCCGCCCCUCCCUGGCGCCGCCCGCGUGGCGCGCCUCGACCCUGCUCUCCCGCGAGGGCCGGGAGGGCUCCGGGACCUUGCAGACUCCACGCGCCUCACGGCUCCUCCAGCUCCUCGGAUCUUUCUCCUUGCGUCGCCGCCGAGUCCCCUGGGGCGGCCCCGCCUCCGGCCGUCUCCUCAGAGACCUUCCCUGGGGGGCGCCUUCCCCUCAGCGCCCCUUCCCGGGCCUCGAGCCAGCGGCUGCCGCAGGAGCUGGCCCCGGGGCGAGGAGCUUCAGAUUCAGGUCCCUAGCCGGCCUCGGAUUCUACUGAGGGGGAAAACAAGAGGAAGAAAGAAAGAUAGACAAGGUUUUCCUCAAGGCAGUAAGCAAAAAGCUGGUUUCUCAGAAGAAAGAAUUAUGUCUGAGAUUUUACCCAGGACUCUCCAGAUCUCUCAUUCUACACAGAAGGACCCUUUCAUUUGGAACGUGCAGAAACUGAGGAGGACCAUCUCUCUCCUCCAUGGGGGCUGCCUGAGUUAAAAAGGCCUGGGUCCAUCUUUUUUCCGUAGGAGAGCUGACUUCAGAGUCUAGAGCCAAAUCUUCACUUCUGUGGCUCUAGAUUGAGGAUUUGCCCUUCUGAUCUCUGUGGGGCUUUUUUUUUUUAACCUGGGAAUUCCCCUGGGCUCUUCGGCUGUUAUUCUCAUCAACCCCUCUCUAUAUUCUGCAAGACAUUGAAAUCUUUCUCCCAGCUUGGCCCCCACCUCCAAUCCCAGUAUUCUCUUUUCUGAGAUUGGAGUAUUUCCAACCCCUCAGUUGCCAGGCACUGAAGGUUUUCAUCUUCCAGGCCUGCCAUGUUUACCUCUGAGAUGUUUCUGGCAACUGUCCACUUCUCUGCAUUCUCACACUGCUGCUCUUGAUAAGCUUCGAUUAUCUGGGGCUGAAUUGUUUCAAUAAUUUCCUAACUGAUUUUCUUGCCUCCUAUCUGUCCCCACCACCAACAUAGACUUAAGAAUGUCACUCUCUUGACAAAACAAGCCAACAUCCUCUAUCCUCUGUCCCACUCCCAAACCUGCAGUAACUUUCCUGUGCAAUUGUAAUACAGUGUAAACUUUCAUAAGGAUGGGGAGUGGCCAAGAUGGCUGACCAGAAGCAGGUAAUGUACAUGGCUCUCACGGAGAGGAACAGAAGGGACGAGUAGAUACAACACCUUCAACUGAAACAUCCGGGUACUCGCAUUGGGAUUAAUCAAGGAAACAACCUGACCCACAGAGAACAAGGAAAAGCAAGACAGGACAACAGCCCACCUGGGAGCAACAGGGAACCAGGGGAUCUUCCCCUGCCCAGGGAAGUGGUAAGUGAAUGAGCGACCCCGGAAACCAUGCUUCUCCCACAGAUCUUUGCAACCCUCCUGUCAGGAGAUCUCCUUGUGAAUCCACUCCACUAGCAGCAGGGCCUUCAGUCUUCAGUCUGGCAGACAGGGCUACAUGGAGUCUCAGCAAAGCAGCCACUCAGGCAUGCGUGGAGACCCUGGAGGCUUAGAUACUUGGGCGUUCUGGCAAAAGUAGCUGCAUCUCCCACAAAGAGGGAGUUUAGACUCCCAUUCAUACCCCUAAGAAAGAGGCUGAAUCCAGAGGGCUGAGCAGCAACAGCCCGCAGG
Molecule: long non-coding RNA, 1677 nt
Filed under: Homo sapiens (human)
Lineage: Eukaryota; Metazoa; Chordata; Mammalia; Primates; Hominidae
Description: HSALNT0314146
Source: RNAcentral